This 326-nucleotide ribosomal RNA is filed under the name uncultured eukaryote. Its description in RNAcentral is "partial 18S ribosomal RNA". It matches the Rfam family "Eukaryotic small subunit ribosomal RNA", at positions 1470 to 1796 of the family's 1831-position model. The record is from RNAcentral.
CCCUUAGAUGUUCUGGGCUGCACGCGCGCUACACUGAUGCACUCAACGAGUUUACGAGCUUGUCCGAGAGGAUUGGCUAAUCUUUUUAAAAUGCAUCGUGAUGGGGAUAGAUUAUUGCAAUUAUUAAUCUUCAACGAGGAAUUCCUAGUAAGCGCGAGUCAUCAGCUCGUGCUGAUUACGUCCCUGCCCUUUGUACACACCGCCCGUCGCUCCUACCGAUUGAGUGCUCAGGUGAAUAAUUCGGACUGCAGCAGUGUUUGGAUCCCGAACGCUGCAGCGGAAAGUUUAGUGAACCUUNUNACUUAGNGGAAGGAGAANUCGUANCA